This 77-nucleotide transfer RNA is filed under the name Lentisphaerota bacterium. RNAcentral's name for it is "Lentisphaerae bacterium (anaerobic digester metagenome) tRNA-Ala". It matches the Rfam family "tRNA". From Rfam's summary of the family: Transfer RNA (tRNA) molecules are approximately 80 nucleotides in length. Their secondary structure includes four short double-helical elements and three loops (D, anti-codon, and T loops). The record is from RNAcentral. Lineage: Bacteria; Pseudomonadati; Lentisphaerota.
GGGGCGGCAGCUCAGUUGGCAGAGUAUUACGUUCGCAGUGUAGAGAUCCGGGGUUUGAAUUCCCCGUCGCUCCACCA